RNAcentral lists this ribosomal RNA (492 nucleotides) under uncultured bacterium. RNAcentral describes it as "partial 16S ribosomal RNA". It matches the Rfam family "Bacterial small subunit ribosomal RNA", at positions 29 to 507 of the family's 1533-position model. The record is from RNAcentral.
AGUGAACGCUGGCGGUAGGCCUAACACAUGCAAGUCGAACGGCAGCACAGUAAGAGCUUGCUCUUACGGGUGGCGAGUGGCGGACGGGUGAGGAAUACAUCGGAAUCUACUUUUUCGUGGGGGAUAACGUAGGGAAACUUACGCUAAUACCGCAUACGACCUACGGGUGAAAGCAGUGGAUCUUCGGACCUUUCGCGAUUGAAUGAGCCGAUGUCGGAUUAGCUAGUUGGCGGGGUAAAGGCCCACCAAGGCGACGAUCCGUAGCUGGUCUGAGAGGAUGAUCAGCCACACUGGAACUGAGACACGGCCCAGACUCCUACGGGAGGCAGCAGUGGGGAAUAUUGGACAAUGGGCGCAAGCCUGAUCCAGCCAUACCGCGUGGGUGAAGAAGGCCUUCGGGUUGUAAAGCCCUUUUGUUGGGAAAGAAAAGCAGCAGGUUAAUACCCCGCUGUUCUGACGGUACCCAAAGAAUAAGCACCGGCUAACUUCGUG